Molecule: ribosomal RNA, 319 nt
Filed under: uncultured bacterium
Lineage: Bacteria
Description: bacterial SSU rRNA
Rfam family: Bacterial small subunit ribosomal RNA
Source: RNAcentral
GAAAGGGAACGGCGUAACUACGUGCCAGCAGCCGCGGUAAUACGUAGGUCCCGAGCGUUAUCCGGAAUUAUUGGGCGUAAAGGGGCAACGUAGGCGGACAAAUAAAGUUUAGAUGUCAAAUAAUGAUGGCUCAACCCAAUCAAGAAGGCGUUGAAAACUAGUUUAUCUAGAAUCUCGGAGAGGUAAGUGGAAUUCCAUGUGUAGCGGUGGAAUGCGUAGAUAUAUGGAGGAACACCAAUGGCGAAGGCAGCUUACUGGACGAAGAUUGACGCUGAGGUGCGAAAGCGUGGGUAGCAAACAGGAUUAGAUACCCUGGUAG